CAGCCGCCACGGUAACACGUAGGGUGCGAGCGUUUAUCGGAAUUACUGGGCGUAAAGCGUGCGCAGGCGGUUGUGUAAGACAGGUGUGAAAUCCCCGGGCUUAACCUGGGAACUGCGCUUGUGACUGCACAGCUAGAGUAUGGCAGAGGGGGGUGGAAUUCCACGUGUAGCAGUGAAAUGCGUAGAGAUGUGGAGGAACACCGAUGGCGAAGGCAGCCCCCUGGGCCAAUACUGACGCUCAUGCACGAAAGCGUGGGGAGCAAACAGGAUUAGAUACCCCUGUAGUCCCUGUCUCUUAUAC
RNAcentral lists this ribosomal RNA (301 nucleotides) under uncultured bacterium. RNAcentral describes it as "partial 16S ribosomal RNA". It matches the Rfam family "Bacterial small subunit ribosomal RNA", at positions 509 to 807 of the family's 1533-position model. The record is from RNAcentral.